UCAGGACGAACGCUGGCGGCGUGCUUCAUACAUGCAAGUCGAACGAUAAGGUCUCUUCGGAGAUACAUAAGUGGCGGACGGGUGAGUAAUGUGUAGAGAAUCUGCCUUCAAGCGGGGGACAACAGAGGGAAACUUCUGCUAAUACCCCAUAUGAGCGUACCUGCGAUGGUAUUCUUGAAAGCUCCGGCGCUUGAAGAUGAGUCUGCAUCUGAUUAGCUAGUUGGGGGUGUAAUGGACCACCAAGGCGACGAUCAGUAGCUGGUUUGAGAGGAUGAUCAGCCACAAUGGGACUGAGACACGGCCCAUACUCCUACGGGAGGCAGCAGUAGGGAAUUUUGCGCAACGGGCGAAAGCCUGACGCAGCCAACGCCGCGUGAUCGCAGACGCCCUUCGGGGUGUAAAGAUCUGUCAGUAGGGAAGAACAAUGACUGUACCUACAGAGGAAGCACCGGCUAACUCCGUGCCAGCCGCAGC
Molecule: ribosomal RNA, 474 nt
Filed under: uncultured bacterium
Lineage: Bacteria
Description: bacterial SSU rRNA
Rfam family: Bacterial small subunit ribosomal RNA
Source: RNAcentral